Molecule: ribosomal RNA, 729 nt
Filed under: Escovopsis sp. TF23TTG
Lineage: Eukaryota; Fungi; Ascomycota; Sordariomycetes; Hypocreales; Hypocreaceae
Description: LSU rRNA
Rfam family: Eukaryotic large subunit ribosomal RNA
Source: RNAcentral
GUAGAGGAUGCUUCUGGCGAGGCGCCGCCUGAGUUCCCUGGAACGGGACGCCAUAGAGGGUGAGAGCCCCGUCUGGCUGGCCGCCGAGCCUCUGUGAAGCUCCUUCGACGAGUCGAGUAGUUUGGGAAUGCUGCUCAAAACGGGAGGUAUAUGUCUUCUAAAGCUAAAUAUUGGCCAGAGACCGAUAGCGCACAAGUAGAGUGAUCGAAAGAUGAAAAGCACUUUGAAAAGAGGGUUAAACAGUACGUGAAAUUGUUGAAAGGGAAGCGCUUGCGACCAGACUCGGGCGCGGCGGAUCAUCCGGCGUUCUCGCCGGUGCACUCCGCCGUGCUCGGGCCAGCAUCGGUUCGCCUCGGGGGAGAAAGGCGCCGGGAAUGUGGCUCCCUCGGGAGUGUUAUAGCCCGGCGUGGAAUACCCUGGGGCGGACCGAGGACCGCGCGUUUUACGCAAGGAUGCUGGCGUAAUGGUCGCCAGCGACCCGUCUUGAAACACGGACCAAGGAGUCGUCCUCGUAUGCGAGUGUUCGGGUGUCAAACCCCUACGCGUAAUGAAAGUGAACGCAGGUGAGAGCUUCGGCGCAUCAUCGACCGAUCCUGAUGUUCUCGGAUGGAUUUGAGUAAGAGCAUACGGGGCCGGACCCGAAAGAAGGUGAACUAUGCCUGUGUAGGGUGAAGCCAGAGGAAACUCUGGUGGAGGCUCGCAGCGGUUCUGACGUGCAAAUCGAUCGUC